UCACUCUUCAAGCCCUCGGCUUGGUGUUGAACGGUUUGGUUUUGGUGACAAGACCCCUCCUAAAAUCAAUGACGGCGGCCUGUUCGACCCCCGGUACACUGAGCUUCUUAACUGAGCACGUAUCGGUCUAGGGUAGACCAGGACCCGGUCUUCUUCUUUAACCGAAAACUCUUUCCAAGG
This 180-nucleotide unclassified non-coding RNA is filed under the name uncultured Cladophialophora. RNAcentral's name for it is "sequence contains ITS2". Lineage: Eukaryota; Fungi; Ascomycota; Eurotiomycetes; Chaetothyriales; Herpotrichiellaceae. The record is from RNAcentral.